Molecule: ribosomal RNA, 279 nt
Filed under: uncultured bacterium
Lineage: Bacteria
Description: partial 16S ribosomal RNA
Rfam family: Bacterial small subunit ribosomal RNA
Source: RNAcentral
UGCCAGCCGCCGCGGUAAGACGGAGGGUGCAAACGUUGUUCGGAAUCACUGGGCAUAAAGCGCACGUAGGCGGUUCGCUAAGUCGGAUGUGAAAGCCCCCGGCUCAACCGGGGAACUGCAUUUGAUACUGGUGAACUCGAGGACGGUAGGGGUGAGUGGAACUCCAGGUGGAGCGGUGAAAUGCGUAGAUAUCUGGAGGAACACCGGUGGCGAAAGCGGCUCACUGGACCGUAUCUGACGCUGAGGUGCGAAAGCUAGGGUAGCGAACGGGAUUAGAUA